UGAAAUAUGUACUGAGCAACUGAUAUUUCAGAAUCCUGGGCCCCGGAAGCCAAAGGAACCAUACAUGGGGAUAAUGCAGUAAGAAGGCCCUUACCAGACCCUGAUACCUCAACGUUGGAUUUCCCAGUCUCCAGAACGGGACCAAGAUCGGAUCUGGAAUGGCUACCCCUGCUGUUUUACCAUAAGCAGAGCAAGCCAAAUGCUAAGAGGACCCUUAAGAUUUCCUAACAAUAGGUAUGCGUGGAAAAGACAGAUGGCUUCCUUUGCACCUGAUAGAUUCCCACUGACUGAACAUCUGUGAGAGGAAUGGAAGAUCCUUGAGUAA
Molecule: long non-coding RNA, 325 nt
Filed under: Callithrix jacchus (white-tufted-ear marmoset)
Lineage: Eukaryota; Metazoa; Chordata; Mammalia; Primates; Cebidae
Description: lncRNA (ENSCJAG00000070037.1)
Source: RNAcentral